Molecule: ribosomal RNA, 266 nt
Filed under: uncultured bacterium
Lineage: Bacteria
Description: partial 16S ribosomal RNA
Rfam family: Bacterial small subunit ribosomal RNA
Source: RNAcentral
AACGAACGCUGGCGGCAGGCUUAACACAUGCAAGUCGAACGGGUGUAGCAAUACACCAGUGGCAGACGGGUGAGUAACACGUGGGAACCUUCCUCGUUGUACGGGACAACUCAGGGAAACUUGAGCUAAUACCGUAUACGUCCGAGAGGAGAAAGAUUUAUCGCAAUGAGACGGGCCCGCGUCGGAUUANCUAGUUGGUAGGGUAACGGCCUACCAAGGCGACGAUCCGUAGCUGANCUGAGGGGAGUGAUCAGCCACACUGGGAC